This 77-nucleotide transfer RNA is filed under the name Prosthecochloris sp. ZM_2. RNAcentral's name for it is "tRNA-Val". It matches the Rfam family "tRNA". From Rfam's summary of the family: Transfer RNA (tRNA) molecules are approximately 80 nucleotides in length. Their secondary structure includes four short double-helical elements and three loops (D, anti-codon, and T loops). Further hydrogen bonds mediate the characteristic L-shaped molecular structure. tRNAs have two regions of fundamental functional importance: the anti-codon, which is responsible for specific mRNA codon recognition, and the 3' end, to which the tRNAs corresponding amino acid is attached (by aminoacyl-tRNA synthetases). tRNAs cope with the degeneracy of the genetic code in two manners: having more than one tRNA (with a specific anti-codon) for a particular amino acid; and 'wobble' base-pairing, i.e. permitting non-standard base-pairing at the 3rd anti-codon position. The record is from RNAcentral. Lineage: Bacteria; Pseudomonadati; Chlorobiota; Chlorobiia; Chlorobiales; Chlorobiaceae.
GGGCGGUUAGCUCAGUUGGUUAGAGCGCAUGCUUCACACGCAUGAGGUCACAGGUUCGACUCCUGUAUCGCCCACCA